This 405-nucleotide ribosomal RNA is filed under the name uncultured bacterium. Its description in RNAcentral is "partial 16S ribosomal RNA". It matches the Rfam family "Bacterial small subunit ribosomal RNA", at positions 30 to 526 of the family's 1533-position model. The record is from RNAcentral.
AUUGAACGCUGGCGGGAGGCCUAACACAUGCAAGUCGAACGAGUGGCGGACGGGUGAGUAAUGUAUCGGAACGUGCCCAGUGGCGGGGGAUAACUACUGGAAAGAGUAGCUAAUACCGCAUACUAUUGGAUCUGCCGAUAUGGGAUUAGCUAGUUGGUGGGGUAAAGGCUCACCAAGGCAACGAUCCGUAGCUGGUUUGAGAGGACGACCAGCCACACUGGAACUGAGACACGGCCCAGACUCCUACGGGAGGCAGCAGUGGGGAAUAUUGGACAACGGGGGCAACCCUGAUGCAGCCAUCCCGCGUGUAUGAGAAGGCCUUCGGGUUGUAAAGUACUUUUGGCAGUGAAGCGGUAUCCGCAGAAGAAGCACCGGCUAACUACGUGCCAGCAGCCGCGGUAAUUC